UACAGAGGUCCCAAGCGUUGUUCGGAUUCACUGGGCGUAAAGUGUGCGCAGGUGGCCGCGCAAGUCGAGUGUGAAAUCCAUGGGCUUAACUUAUGGCUUGCUUUCGAUACGGGCAGACUAGAGGUAUGCAGGGGAGAACGGAAUUCCUGGUGUAGCGGUGAAAUGCGCAGAUAUCAGGAGGAACACCGGUGGCGAAGGCGGUUCUCUGGGCAUGAUCUGACGCUGAGGAGCGAAAGUGUGGGGAGCGAACAGG
Molecule: ribosomal RNA, 253 nt
Filed under: uncultured bacterium
Lineage: Bacteria
Description: partial 16S ribosomal RNA
Rfam family: Bacterial small subunit ribosomal RNA
Source: RNAcentral